RNAcentral lists this ribosomal RNA (48 nucleotides) under Verticillium dahliae. RNAcentral's name for it is "partial 28S ribosomal RNA". The record is from RNAcentral. Lineage: Eukaryota; Fungi; Ascomycota; Sordariomycetes; Glomerellales; Plectosphaerellaceae.
CCAUUGUGUACUCCAUCUGCUGAGGGUAGCCCUACUUCGCCUCGAUUU